GUUAGGAAUAUUGGACAAUGGGCGCAAGCCUGAUCCAGCCAUGCCGCGUGAGUGAUGAAGGCCUUCGUGUUGUAAAGCUCUUUAGUCCACGAAUAUAAUGACUGUAGUGGAAGAAUAAGCCCCGGCUAACUUCGUGCCAGCAGCCGCGGUAAUACGAAGGGGGCGAGCGUUAUUCGGAAUCACUGGGCGUAAAGCGUGCGUAGGCUGUUUUGUAAGUCAGAAGUGAAAGCCCAGGGCUUAACCCUGGAAUUGCUUUUGAAACUACAAGACUCGAAUUCGGGAGAGGAUAGCGGAAUUGUCAGUGUAGCAGUGAAAUGCGUAGAUAUUGACAGGAACACCAGUGGCGCAAGCGGCUAUCUGGACCGAUAUUGACGCUGAGGCACGAAUGCGUGGGGAGCAAACAGGAUUAGAAACCCCGGUAGUCC
RNAcentral lists this ribosomal RNA (425 nucleotides) under uncultured bacterium. Its description in RNAcentral is "partial 16S ribosomal RNA". It matches the Rfam family "Bacterial small subunit ribosomal RNA", at positions 354 to 796 of the family's 1533-position model. The record is from RNAcentral.